AGAGUUUGAUCCUGGCUCAGGAUGAACGCUGGCGGCGUGCCUAACACAUGCAAGUCGAGCGAUUCACUUCGGUGAAGAGCGGCGGACGGGUGAGUAACGCGUGGGUAACCUGCCUCAUACACAUGGAUAACAUACCGAAAGGUAUGCUAAUACAAGAUGAUAUAAGAGAUUCGCAUGUUUCUCUUAUCAAAGCUCCGGCGGUAUGAGAUGGACCCGCGUCUGAUUAGCUAGUUGGUAAGGUAAUGGCUUACCAAGGCGACGAUCAGUAGCCGACCUGAGAGGGUGAUCGGCCACAUUGGAACUGAGACACGGUCCAAACUCCUACGGGAGGCAGCAGUGGGGAAUAUUGCACAAUGGGCGAAAGCCUGAUGCAGCAACGCCGCGUGAGUGAUGAAGGCCUUCGGGUCGUAAAACUCUGUCCUCAAGGAAGAUAAUGACGGUACUUGAGGAGGAAGCCCCGGCUAACUACGUGCCAGCAGCCGCGGUAAUACGUAGGGGGCUAGCGUUAUCCGGAUUUACUGGGCGUAAAGGGUGCGUAGGUGGUUUCUUAAGUCAGGAGUGAAAGGCUACGGCUUAACCGUAGUAAGCUCUUGAAACUGGGAAACUUGAGUGCAGGAGAGGAAAGUGGAAUUCCUAGUGUAGCGGUGAAAUGCGUAGAUAUUAGGAGGAACACCAGUAGCGAAGGCGGCUUUCUGGACUGUAACUGACACUGAGGCACGAAAGCGUGGGGAGCAAACAGGAUUAGAUACCCUGGUAGUCCACGCCGUAAACGAUGAGUACUAGGUGUCGGGGGUUACCCCCCCUCGGUGCCGCAGCUAACGCAUUAAAUCGACCGCCUGGGGAGUACGGCCGCAAGGUUAAAACUCAAAUGAAUUGACGGGGGCCCGCACAAGCGGUGGAGCAUGUGGUUUAAUUCGAUGCAACGCGAAGAACCUUACCUGGUCUUGACAUCCACAGAACUUAGCAGAGAUGCUUUGGUGCCUUCGGGAACUGUGAGACAGGUGCUGCAUGGCUGUCGUCAGCUCGUGUUGUGAAAUGUUGGGUUAAGUCCCGCAACGAGCGCAACCCUUAUCCUUUGUUGCCAGCGGUCCGGCCGGGAACUCAAAGGAGACUGCCAGUGAUAAACUGGAGGAAGGUGGGGAUGACGUCAAGUCAUCAUGGCCCUUACGACCAGGGCUACACACGUGCUACAAUGGCAUAUACAAAGAGAAGCGACCUCGCGAGAGCAAGCGGACCUCAUAAAGUAUGUCGUAGUCCGGAUUGGAGUCUGCAACUCGACUCCAUGAAGUCGGAAUCGCUAGUAAUCGUAGAUCAGAAUGCUACGGUGAAUACGUUCCCGGGCCUUGUACACACCGCCCGUCA
RNAcentral lists this ribosomal RNA (1362 nucleotides) under uncultured bacterium. RNAcentral's name for it is "partial 16S ribosomal RNA". It matches the Rfam family "Bacterial small subunit ribosomal RNA". The record is from RNAcentral.